AUUGAACGCUGGCGGCAUGCCUUACACAUGCAAGUCGAACGGCAGCACGGGUGCUUGCACCUGGUGGCGAGUGGCGAACGGGUGAGUAAUACAUCGGAACAUGUCCUGUAGUGGGGGAUGGCCCGGCGAAAGCCGGAUUAAUACCGCAUACGAUCUACGGAUGAAAGCGGGGGACCUUCGGGCCUCGCGCUAUAGGGUUGGCCGAUGGCUGAUUAGCUAGUUGGUGGGGUAAAGGCCUACCAAGGCGACGAUCAGUAGCUGGUCUGAGAGGACGACCAGCCACACUGGGACUGAGACACGGCCCAGACUCCUACGGGAGGCAGCAGUGGGGAAUUUUGGACAAUGGGCGAAAGCCUGAUCCAGCAAUGCCGCGUGUGUGAAGAAGGCCUUUGGGUUGUAAAGCACUUUUGUCCGGAAAGAAAUCCUUGGCCCUAAUACGGUCGGGGGAUGACGGUACCGGAAGAAUAAGCACCGGCUAACUACGUG
RNAcentral lists this ribosomal RNA (486 nucleotides) under uncultured bacterium. RNAcentral's name for it is "partial 16S ribosomal RNA". It matches the Rfam family "Bacterial small subunit ribosomal RNA", at positions 30 to 507 of the family's 1533-position model. The record is from RNAcentral.